Molecule: ribosomal RNA, 253 nt
Filed under: uncultured bacterium
Lineage: Bacteria
Description: partial 16S ribosomal RNA
Rfam family: Bacterial small subunit ribosomal RNA
Source: RNAcentral
UACGAAGGGGGCUAGCGUUGUUCGGAAUCACUGGGCGUAACGGGCGCGUAGGCGGCUUUAUAAGUCGGGGGUGAAAGCCUGUGGCUCAACCACAGAAUUGCCUUCGAUACUGUAGAGCUUGAGACCGGAAGAGGUAAGUGGAACUGCGAGUGUAGAGGUGAAAUUCGUAGAUAUUGGGAAGAACACCGGUGGCGAAGGCGGCUAUCUGGCCCGUAAUUGACGCUGAGGCGCGAAAGCGUGGGGAGCAAACAGG